RNAcentral lists this ribosomal RNA (852 nucleotides) under Triticum aestivum (bread wheat). Its description in RNAcentral is "partial small subunit ribosomal RNA". The record is from RNAcentral. Lineage: Eukaryota; Viridiplantae; Streptophyta; Magnoliopsida; Poales; Poaceae.
AUGGAUAGAUCGCCGUUCUUGAAGAAGGGCCCAUGGACGCCGGAGGAGGACAAGCUGCUGGUGGACUACAUCCAGAAGAAUGGCAUGGGCAACUGGGGGGCCAUCCGGCGGCUCACUGGCCUCGACCGCUGCAGCAAGAGCUGCCGCCUACGCUGGACCAGGCACCUACGCACUAACAUCAAGCGUGGCGGCUUCACUGACGACGAGGGGAAGCUCAUCAUCCAACUCCACUCCAUCCUCGGCAACAAGUGGGCACAGAUCGCGGAGAAGAUGCCGGGGAAGACGGACAACGACAUAAAAAAUUACUGGAACAUGCACCUGCGGAAGAAGUUAUUCCGCAAGGGCAUCGACCCCAACACACACCGUCUGUACCCCUACCUCAGCCCCAUCGCCGCUGCCGCCGGCGGUAGCUCAGGCACUGGCGCCGGCUGGGACAUUUAUGAUCUCAUGCUCCAGGUUGACAGCGCCAUGAACCACCUGCUCCAAGGCCAUUGUUCGGUGAUCAGUUCUUCGUUGGGCGCCAUGAGAUCCCUUGUUGGGAAGCUGGACAUGCUGCUGCUAGCUCCUUCAUCUCGUCAGGGGUUCUCCUCCAAGAGGGUGAAGGAUGGGAUGCGCCUCCUUAAAGAUGAUGUUGAAGAGAUAAGCAUCUACCUUGAUGAACUGUUAGAGGUGGAGGACCCUCCCCCGAUAGCCAUGUGCUGGAUGAAUGAGGCACGCGAACUGUCCUAUGAUAUGGAGGAUUACAUGGACAACUUAUUAUUUGUGCCACCUGACUAUGUAAACAACAACAGGCAGAAGAAGAAGCGGAAGAAAAAGAAGAUGAUAAAGAAGAGGAUCAAGUGGUACAAAUAG